Molecule: transfer RNA, 74 nt
Filed under: Bacteroidota bacterium
Lineage: Bacteria; Pseudomonadati; Bacteroidota
Also listed under: 2 other names
Description: tRNA-Ala
Rfam family: tRNA
About the family: Transfer RNA (tRNA) molecules are approximately 80 nucleotides in length. Their secondary structure includes four short double-helical elements and three loops (D, anti-codon, and T loops).
Source: RNAcentral
GGGGGUAUAGCUCAGCUGGCUAGAGCGCUUGCAUGGCAUGCAAGAGGUCAUCGGUUCGAAUCCGAUUAUCUCCA